AGCCUUAAGAUUAUAUUUAAGGUGAUGCCUGCCCAGUGCUAAUAUCGUAAACGGCCGCAGUACCUUGACUGUGCUAAGGUAGCAUAAUCAGUUGGCUUUUAAAUGGAGUCGGGAAUGAAUGGAUUUAUAGGGUUAAGCUGUCUCUGUUAUAUUUUCUUGAACUUGUUUAUUUAGGUGAAAAUACCUAAUUUUUGAUAAAAGACGAGAAGACCCUAGGAGUUUUAACUAGUAUCAAUAUUAAAUUGUAUAAUGUUUUUGUUGGGGCGACAUAGGAACAUAAUUAACCUCCUUAAUUUUAUUUACCGACUUAAUGUAUAAAUAUUUAAACUACCCUAGGGAUAACAGCGUUAUUCUUUUUAGAGUUUGCGACCUCGAUGUUGGACUAGGAAUUUGAUUGGCUAGCCGCCAAUUUUUAUUGUUCUGUUCGAACUUAAUUUCCUACAU
RNAcentral lists this ribosomal RNA (444 nucleotides) under Elysia sp. ALB-2006. Its description in RNAcentral is "partial 16S ribosomal RNA". It matches the Rfam family "Bacterial large subunit ribosomal RNA", at positions 1829 to 2601 of the family's 2925-position model. The record is from RNAcentral. Lineage: Eukaryota; Metazoa; Mollusca; Gastropoda; Plakobranchidae.